Molecule: ribosomal RNA, 255 nt
Filed under: uncultured bacterium
Lineage: Bacteria
Description: partial 16S ribosomal RNA
Rfam family: Bacterial small subunit ribosomal RNA
Source: RNAcentral
CGUAGGGUGCAAGCGUUGUCCGGAUUUAUUGGGCGUAAAGAGCUCGUAGGCGGUUUGUCGCGUCGGAUGUGAAAACCCAAUGGCUUAACCUUGGGCCUGCAUUCGAUACGGGCAAACUAGAGUGUGGUAGGGGAGACUGGAACUCCUGGUGUAGCGGUGGAAUGCGCAGAUAUCAGGAAGAACACCGAUGGCGAAGGCAGGUCUCUGGGCCAUAACUGACGCUGAGGAGCGAAAGCGUGGGGAGCGAACAGGAUU